UACGAAGGGGGCAAGCGUUGUUCGGAAUCACUGGGCGUAAAGGGCGCGUAGGCGGACAUUUAAGUCAGGGGUGAAAUCCCGGGGCUCAACCCCGGAACUGCCCUUGAUACUGGGGUGUCUUGAGACCGGAAGAGGUAAGUGGAACUGCGAGUGUAGAGGUGAAAUUCGUAGAUAUUCGCAAGAACACCAGUGGCGAAGGCGGCUUACUGGUCCGGAUCUGACGCUGAGGCGCGAAAGCGUGGGGGCAACAGG
RNAcentral lists this ribosomal RNA (252 nucleotides) under uncultured bacterium. Its description in RNAcentral is "partial 16S ribosomal RNA". It matches the Rfam family "Bacterial small subunit ribosomal RNA", at positions 524 to 776 of the family's 1533-position model. The record is from RNAcentral.